Molecule: long non-coding RNA, 284 nt
Filed under: Mytilus galloprovincialis (Mediterranean mussel)
Lineage: Eukaryota; Metazoa; Mollusca; Bivalvia; Mytilida; Mytilidae
Source: RNAcentral
UUGUUUUCUCUUAUUUUGGAGUGUAAAUUGACAUUGCGAUAAGACGUGUCACGGUACUGGUCUAUCCCAAAUUCAUGUAUUUGGUUUUGAUGUUAUAUUUGUUAUUCUCGUGAGAUUUUGUCUGAUGCUUGGUCCGUUUCUGUGUGUGUUACACUGUAGUGUUGUGUCGUUGUUCUCCUCUUAUAUUUAAUGCGUUUCCCUCAGUUUUAGUUUGUUACCCCGAUUUUGUUUUUUGUCCAUGGAAUUAUGAGUUUGAACAGCGGUAUACUACUGUUGCCUUUAUU